AUCCUAGAUGAAAGAAUAGUUAACCCUCAGCAUAGUUGUAUCUUUAAAAAAAUGGCUUGAAGUGUUUUUGUUUGACAGUUUUACCUUUUCUAAACCUAGACGAGUGCUUUCAUCUAUCGGAAAGAGCUGCAACUUAAUCUUAGUGGAAGGAUGAAGUCUUUCUUCUGUAUUCAAGUAAAGUGCAGGUAUUGUAAUUCCUUCCACAAUUCUGGUUUUUGUAGUUUUAGACCUUGAAGAUGGUGCUUCACCUGAACCACUAGGUAAUGAAUGCUCAUCCUUUUCUGUUUUUCCUAAAUUAGAAGACAAAAAACUUAUAGUUAAAAGCACAAUUCAAGUACUCCAAUUUAUGAAAGAAAUCAACAUUUAUACUUAAAAAGAUAAAUUUCUUAGUAAGGCAACAAGUCCAGCGUCCUGCCUGUUGCUCCCUGAAGCUGCUGCUCAACUCUUGUCUUUCUAGAUCUAUCGACUCCCUUACAACCUUCGUGCACAUUGAUUUCUGAAUGUGGUUCUAACGCUUUUAUCCUUCUCUUUCUAUUAGUUCCCAUGUGAUAAAAGUUUUCCUAUCAACCAAACCAACCAUAAACAACAUUAAACUGAAAGUGCUUUACCAAAAAUAUCCACCAACAUUAAACACAAAACAAAACAAAACAAAAAAAAAUAAAAAUUCUUCUGAAACUCCAUUUCUAUGAGAGUCUGCCACCGCUAGCCUUUAAUUAAAAAUCAGUGCAUAACAUAAUAUUUCAAUCUCUAAAAGACAGUUUUUUUUUUUAAAUCUAAAUCCCAACUUUAAACACGGAGUAGUUUUAAGCCUUUCGGUUUCAUUGGAAUAUUUAGGGUUCAGCAUUUUAGAACUAACAACUGAAGCAAAAAUGUUCCUUAGAUUAAAAAGAAAAAAGAAAAAAAAAACUAUAUUCAUGAACUGCAUACUCAAGCAAUGCCAAAGAGGAUUCGAUUAAAUAGCCGGCGGUUCAAACCCUAAUUCUCAAAUUAGGGAUACAAGAAAAUAUAUAUUAAAGCAUAACGGACUUUAUACAUUAACUGGAAAAUAAAUAAGGUCCUGACUAAAGCAUCAAAUUGAAAUCACAAAUCAUCUGAAAAUUUUUAGUCAGUACCAUAAGGAUUGAUCUUUAGCAACAUAUGUUGAAAUUAAAAGAAAAUAUCAGGAAUUAAAGAUGAACAAUUUACAAAUAAAUCUAACUAAAAUUCUCAAUUCUAUAAAUAAAAAAUAAAAAAAGAGUUUUAGUUUAACCUGAAUAGAAUCAGAGCAGCGCAAAUUUGAAAAGUGGUGAAUAGUAGUGGCGGGAAUUUGAGGAUCUCGAAGAAAAGGUUUUCAAGGGCGUAUUUGUUUCUGCAAAUAGUUAAAAAUGGACUUUCAAAUUCAAAGGUAAAUGCCGCCAAGUAAGUUUAUAUUUGGCUUAAACCAAAGAACGCCCCCAAACUAUAACAUUUUUCCCACUUAAGUACUUAAACAUUUUUUUUAUCAUUUUAGGUAUCUAGUCUCUUUUUUUUUCAUAUUGGUACUUGUAUUAGUCAACUGUUAGUUGACCGUUAAUUAAUUAUGUUCACUGAUGAUAUGGUCCAAUUACAUAAGGACAUGUAGCAAACAAAACCACAUAAGCAAUAUCAUAUCAUUAUUUAUAUAAAAUAAUUCCAAAAAACAAAAUAAUUUAUGUAAUUGAAAUUGAAAUUAGAAUAUAUAAAAUUUAAAAAAUAAAUUUAUGAAUGUUUAUAGUAUAUUAAAUAUAUUUUUCUUCCUUUCUAAUUUCCCCCUUUCUUUGUCGGUGUAAUUUUGAAGAAUGAAAUCAUUGUAACAAGUCUUUUGUAUAUCCUGUUCUUGGUAAAUCCUUGAAAUGGAUUCAUUUUCUAAAUGCUUCCAAAGAUGUUAAGUUCUUGCAAAUGAAGAAUACCUUACCAAUUCCUUGCAUUUUUGUAGAUAUCCCCUUGUCUCCGUUACAAAUGAAAUCAAAUGUUACGAGUUGGAAAAUUAAGCAAGGAAUGAAGAAUAAAAGAGUUAGUUAUUAGCGGUUAGUGCUUUAAGUCAAACGGUGAGUUUUGUUACUUGUUAAAACGGGGCGUAAUAUUUAGUUAAACGGUGCAUUUGGCUAUAACAGAAUUGCCACAUUGCUCUCUUGUUAUUUGUUUCCUUUUAAGUACAGGUUGUAUGGGGAAAAACAGUUAUGGAAAUAUUGAAGUAAACCUUCCUGUAACACCUCGUACCCGAGACCAUUGCUGGAGUCAGACACGAGGGGUUCGCAGACUUAAAUCACUUAUUUGCACAGUCUAUUUUAAAUUUCCAGACGAGCUGGCUAACUGCGUCACUAUCACCUUAAAAAUCAUAUCUCGAGUUCCAAAACUCGAAAACCAGUUCCGUAAAUUUUUUCUGAAACUAGACUCAUAUGUUCAUCUACAAAUUUUUUUCUAGAAUUUUUGGUUGAGCCAAUUAGUACAUUUUAUUAGCUAAAGUCUCCCCUGUUUCAGGGUUCGACUACACUGACCUUUGCGCAUUAUGACUUGGAUAUCUCCCUGUACAGGGCUUCAAUACUGAUGCUGUUUGUUUCUAUAGAAACUAGACUCGAAAGGGAAUCUAUACAUAU
RNAcentral lists this long non-coding RNA (2594 nucleotides) under Gossypium barbadense (sea-island cotton). RNAcentral's name for it is "long non-coding RNA (GBAR_LNC011493)". Lineage: Eukaryota; Viridiplantae; Streptophyta; Magnoliopsida; Malvales; Malvaceae. The record is from RNAcentral.